RNAcentral lists this ribosomal RNA (1500 nucleotides) under metagenome. RNAcentral's name for it is "bacterial SSU rRNA". It matches the Rfam family "Bacterial small subunit ribosomal RNA". The record is from RNAcentral.
AGAGUUUGAUCAUGGCUCAGAUUGAACGCUGGCGGCAGGCCUAACACAUGCAAGUCGAACGGUAACAGGAAGAAGCUUGCUUCUUUGCUGACGAGUGGCGGACGGGUGAGUAAUGUCUGGGAAACUGCCUGAUGGAGGGGGAUAACUACUGGAAACGGUAGCUAAUACCGCAUAACGUCGCAAGACCAAAGAGGGGGACCUUCGGGCCUCUUGCCAUCGGAUGUGCCCAGAUGGGAUUAGCUAGUAGGUGGGGUAACGGCUCACCUAGGCGACGAUCCCUAGCUGGUCUGAGAGGAUGACCAGCCACACUGGAACUGAGACACGGUCCAGACUCCUACGGGAGGCAGCAGUGGGGAAUAUUGCACAAUGGGCGCAAGCCUGAUGCAGCCAUGCCGCGUGUAUGAAGAAGGCCUUCGGGUUGUAAAGUACUUUCAGCGGGGAGGAAGGGAGUAAAGUUAAUACCUUUGCUCAUUGACGUUACCCGCAGAAGAAGCACCGGCUAACUCCGUGCCAGCAGCCGCGGUAAUACGGAGGGUGCAAGCGUUAAUCGGAAUUACUGGGCGUAAAGCGCACGCAGGCGGUUUGUUAAGUCAGAUGUGAAAUCCCCGGGCUCAACCUGGGAACUGCAUCUGAUACUGGCAAGCUUGAGUCUCGUAGAGGGGGGUAGAAUUCCAGGUGUAGCGGUGAAAUGCGUAGAGAUCUGGAGGAAUACCGGUGGCGAAGGCGGCCCCCUGGACGAAGACUGACGCUCAGGUGCGAAAGCGUGGGGAGCAAACAGGAUUAGAUACCCUGGUAGUCCACGCCGUAAACGAUGUCGACUUGGAGGUUGUGCCCUUGAGGCGUGGCUUCCGGAGCUAACGCGUUAAGUCGACCGCCUGGGGAGUACGGCCGCAAGGUUAAAACUCAAAUGAAUUGACGGGGGCCCGCACAAGCGGUGGAGCAUGUGGUUUAAUUCGAUGCAACGCGAAGAACCUUACCUGGUCUUGACAUCCACGGAAGUUUUCAGAGAUGAGAAUGUGCCUUCGGGAACCGUGAGACAGGUGCUGCAUGGCUGUCGUCAGCUCGUGUUGUGAAAUGUUGGGUUAAGUCCCGCAACGAGCGCAACCCUUAUCCUUUGUUGCCAGCGGUCCGGCCGGGAACUCAAAGGAGACUGCCAGUGAUAAACUGGAGGAAGGUGGGGAUGACGUUAAGUCAUCAUGGCCCUUACGACCAGGGCUACACACGUGCUACAAUGGCGCAUACAAAGAGAAGCGACCUCGCGAGAGCAAGCGGACCUCAUAAAGUGCGUCGUAGUCCGGAUUGGAGUCUGCAACUCGACUCCAUGAAGUCGGAAUCGCUAGUAAUCGUGGAUCAGAAUGCCACGGUGAAUACGUUCCCGGGCCCUGUACACACCGCCCGUCACACCAUGGGAGUGGGUUGCAAAAGAAGUAGGUAGCUUAACCUUCGGGAGGGCGCUUACCACUUUGUGAUUCAUGACUGGGGUGAAGUCGAAACAAGGUA